Molecule: transfer RNA, 73 nt
Filed under: Pangasianodon hypophthalmus (striped catfish)
Lineage: Eukaryota; Metazoa; Chordata; Actinopteri; Siluriformes; Pangasiidae
Description: tRNA-Val
Source: RNAcentral
GUUUCUGUAGUGUAGUGAUUAUCACAUUUGCCUCACGUGCGAAAGGUCCCCAUUUCGAAACCGGGCAGUAACA